RNAcentral lists this small nuclear RNA (101 nucleotides) under Echinops telfairi (small Madagascar hedgehog). Lineage: Eukaryota; Metazoa; Chordata; Mammalia; Afrosoricida; Tenrecidae. The record is from RNAcentral.
NNCCUUCGGCAGCACAUAUACUAAAAUUGGAACGAUACAGAGAAGAUUAGCAUGACCCUGCGCAAGAUGACACGCAAAUUCGUGAAGCAUUCCAUAUUAAA